RNAcentral lists this ribosomal RNA (468 nucleotides) under uncultured bacterium. RNAcentral describes it as "partial 16S ribosomal RNA". It matches the Rfam family "Bacterial small subunit ribosomal RNA", at positions 28 to 507 of the family's 1533-position model. The record is from RNAcentral.
GACGAACGCUGGCGGCGUGCUUAACACAUGCAAGUCGAACGGAAAGGCCCUGCUUUUGUGGGGUGCUCGAGUGGCGAACGGGUGAGUAACACGUGAGUAACCUGCCCUUGACUUUGGGAUAACUGCAGGAAACCGGGGCUAAUACCGGAUAGGAGCUCCUGCUGCAUGGUGGGGGUUGGAAAGCUUCGGCGGUUGGGGAUGGACUCGCGGCUUAUCAGCUUGUGGGUGGGGUAGUGGCUUACCAAGGCUUUGGCGGGUAGCCGGCCUGAGAGGGGGACCAGGCUCAUUGGGCCUGCGGGACGGCGCAGUGUGCAACAGGGGGCAGCGGGCGGGAAUAUUGCCCAACGAGCGGGCGCCUGAUGCGGCAGCGUCGCGUGCGGAAAGAAGGCCUUCGGGUUGUAAACCGCAUUAGGUUAUUACCAAGCGUUAGUGACGGUAAUAGGUGAAGAAGCACCGGCUAACUACGUG